This 70-nucleotide transfer RNA is filed under the name Plotosus lineatus (striped eel catfish). RNAcentral describes it as "tRNA-Thr". It matches the Rfam family "tRNA". Rfam says of the family: Transfer RNA (tRNA) molecules are approximately 80 nucleotides in length. Their secondary structure includes four short double-helical elements and three loops (D, anti-codon, and T loops). Further hydrogen bonds mediate the characteristic L-shaped molecular structure. tRNAs have two regions of fundamental functional importance: the anti-codon, which is responsible for specific mRNA codon recognition, and the 3' end, to which the tRNAs corresponding amino acid is attached (by aminoacyl-tRNA synthetases). tRNAs cope with the degeneracy of the genetic code in two manners: having more than one tRNA (with a specific anti-codon) for a particular amino acid; and 'wobble' base-pairing, i.e. permitting non-standard base-pairing at the 3rd anti-codon position. RNAcentral also lists the same sequence under 1 other name. Lineage: Eukaryota; Metazoa; Chordata; Actinopteri; Siluriformes; Plotosidae. The record is from RNAcentral.
GCCCUAGUAGCUUAAACAAAGCGCCGGUCUUGUAAUCCGGAGAUUAAAGGCUAAAACCCUUUCUAGAGCC